GUCUGCAGGCUCCGCCUCUUCUCCUCCCCCACAGCCCACCUUUUUGAGUUUGUGGCGUAAUGUCCUCCAUCCUGUAUCCUCCCCUGUGAGGUCCCCGUUGUGCCUACAAGUUGUUUGACAAAUUUUCAAGCAGGUCGUUCUCAAAAUUCCAAAUAUGAGGGAGAUGCAGAAGCAACACUACAAGAUCCCAGGUUUCUCCCUCACUCUCUCAAUCUCACUGCCGCUGCUAGGGCUUAGGUCCCGACUCACGUAUUUUCUCUUGUGAGAGAUAGCUCUUGCCGAAGCAGGUCAAGAUAAGAGAAGGCGCAAGUUCAGAAUAGCACUCCACCAGCCUAUGUGAAUUGGCACGCUAGGACUUGGGAAAGCUCAGGUCAGCCGUGCCCACCCUUCCCAAAUUUUCAGAUAAGUUAUUUUUUGUUCAGGUGCAUUUGAUUAAUUUGUUCUAUAUAUGAGUGGAUAUUUAGUUCUGGUAAAAGUAUGAUUUAUUGUUCAUACUGCUCGGGCAGUAUAAGCAGCAGAUUGUGCUUAGCUUUGUUUGUGGCUCGAAAUUUAGAUAGUUGCAUCGGUAAGUUCGGUGUUAUACUGUAAAUGUAUCCAUUUUUCAGAAAUGGUACUGUAGACUGUAUGAUCUGCAUCCAGGUAAAUCCAAUUGGCUAUCAGUUUGAUUUUGUUUUGAUCUUUUUCUAUAGUUCCAUGUUAUGGAUUGUAGGAGGAAUUUUUGGUGAACAUAUGAUUGACGGCGAAGGCCAUGGUAGAGCUUUCGCUUGGGGACUUCGAAUUAGUGUGGCUUUGAUCAGUUCUGUUUCAAACCCGGGGCAAUGAAAUUGUUUGGCUGGUCGAUGGCACAUAUUUUUCCAUGCCACCAAUAGUUAGGUUUGUGGCCGCAUCUGGUUAUUGUUUGGUGUACUGUUUAUCUCUUCCGUUUUGUCGGUCCUCUUCUUCGAAAGGCCUACAGGUUCACUAGUUAUUGUCAGCACCAACGCCAUCGUCCUUGUGUCCAGAACUCCACACGAGCUCCAGAAAUCUAGAGCUAUCCGGCACCUCUGCCCUCUGUACUUUGGAUCAGAGAUUUAGCAUGCCUCGCAAUGCCGGUUCAGCACAAUUGGGUUGAUAUAUGUAACAGAGAGAGGUUGAGGGGGCGCACUGUUGAUUGAGUGUCCUGGUUGAUCAUGUUCUGUUUGAAGUUUUGUUGUUAUGUAGAGGCACCCUCUAUUUUUUUGAAGUCGACGAGUAAAAAGUUCCAAAAUACAAUUGAGGCAUGUUCGGUCGGUAAUAAAGUAUGAGUUAUCUAUCUUCUUAUUUACUUGACAAAGUCAUAAGCGUGUGUUACCUUGUGGGUAGAGGGAUGCUGGACUCGCUAGCUAGAGGCGUCAAGACAUUGAAGACAAAAACUUUAGAAGUUCGUAGCUGACGGAGAGGCGGAGAGCUGAGCAAGGAUAAAUUGGUGGCAUUCCAAGUGCCUCCUUGCAUUCCUCAAGCUGGUGAUGCUGCUCAUGCUGACAUAUGUGCCCAGUUGUUUGUAAAGGACAUUGCAGGUUGUCAAUGAAGCGACUGUGUCGGUUGAUGGAUAUCAUGCUGGUAGACGAGAGGCGGUUAGGAAAGCAGCAUCGAGUCUAAAUUUGUAAGGGAGCCUGCCCGCUGACAUGACCAUCUUCAGUGAAGCAUGCCUCCUCCCUAAAAAAACCAUGCAGGCUCAGUUAUUCAUUCUUUGCUUCUAUUGUAGUUUUGUUCUACCACUUCCUACAACAAAUAAAAAAUCCAGAGAAAGAAAGUAAUCAUUUUUUUACAAACUGUACAUGUAUACCCAUUUAAAAUAUUUUCAAGAUGAGGCUAUUGCUUUGUACUCCAUUUUCUGAAUAAUAAUCUCAUCCACAAUAUUAUCAUCAUAUUGUAGCUUCUUACGAGUUUCAUGGCUUUUCUCCAUAGCAGCAUUGAUGUUUGUGCAUGCCCUCGAUGGAUUUAUCAUAACGUAAAGUUACGUUAUUCUCAAGUCUCUACCAAUAUGUUCUGUAAAUAUUGCCUGCGGAUUUAUAUUCUUCUUAUCAUCCUGGUCUCAUCUUUGGUGUAUUGUAGGAAUAACUCACGAUUGAAUUCUUCUUGAUAUGUGGAAUUCUUUGGUGCCAUUAUUUAUUUUUGUUUUUAUGGUCAUACCUACAAUAAUAGCUAAUGAAAUUGUUUUCUUUGCAUUUAUAUUGCUGAGUUGCUUGCUGAUGUGCAAAACUUAGUUCGGUUUCAACUAUUUCCAUUUUGUGCCAGGCUUAUAAACUAAGAUUUGUUUUCUUUUCUAUUUUUUUUAGUUUUGUAUAUCCGAUGAUACAUAUUUAUGUAAAGUUAUAAUAACAGUUGUAUAUAUAUAUAUGUGUUGCCCACCAUGGUGCAACAGUCGCUCGAUCUGCUACUUUUAGCUAGCCUGGCUCUUCAUCAUGAUAAAUUGAUAUUCUUUUUAGACUGUCAUGUCUGGACUUUUUCAAAUGAUGUAAAAGAACUUGCUAAUCAAAUUGAUGGUUCAGGCAAACUAAAGCGGCAUAUUUUCCGAACAUAGGUUGGUAUGUCUUUGUAAGCGUGGAGAGACUUGUUAAAAUUUUAUGCCCUCUUUAUCUGGUGCUCUUAGUCAGUAACUAUUGUUAUUGUUCUAACUGAGGCACUUUAUAAAAUAUACACACAUGGUUGGAAUAUCAUGUCUGGACUUUUUAAAAUAAUGUAAAAGAACUUGCAAAUCAAAAUUGCUGGUUUACAGUGGGCAAACUGAAGUGACAUUUUCUCAACACAAGUUGGACUGUCAUUGUAAGUGUGAAGAAGGCUGGCUAUUGAGAGUUUAUGUAUUCUUUAUCUGGUGCUCUUCAAUUUUUCUAUUCAAAAUAAUCAGUCACCGAGAGCAGCACAGUGAAUAAUAUACGCAUGGUUUGUUGUAUUUCACUCUUAUCUCUGUACAUCCUUAGCUGCUAUUGUUUGUGCGCCUCUGGGUUCAGAUGAUAACAUUUUAGACAUAAAAUUACUAACAUCUAUUUUUCUGUCAUUUGUUGUUGAUCUAAUAUACUGGGACCACUAGAUAUGGGUGGAGCACGCCCAUGUGCUCUAUACGGUGAUUAUCCCGAAUGUCAGCGUUCUAGGUAAACAAAAUUACUCUGAGAAAUCUUAGUUCUAUAUUUGGCCGAGCAAAAAUAGAUGAAUGGUAUGAUUACCUUUUUAAUUCAUUAUCUACUGCAAUUGCCAAACAAGUAUUCCUUUCAGUGUCUCAUAAAUAACUACCCUAAACCCUAAACUUUGAACAGGUGAAUACUGGUUAUUAGUCAGCUUUUACUAUUGGUUUUGGAUGUGCACUUCUGUUAUACUGUAAGAGUGCUGGCUUUCACUCCUAAUCGCCAGUGGUUUGGUGCCUCUUAUACACUGGAAAUCAGCUAAGCCACAUCCUACUUUCCUACUAUACGAGUCAUGCAUGUGCAGACAACCUAAUUGCUCUAAUGAGGAAGUGUAUCUCAAGUCUGUUUAGAAAUCCUUGCAAAGACUGUUCUUCUACUGAUGUGCUUCCCUGUGUGUCUUCCAGGUAAUCAAUUAAAUCUUAUAGCAAUGAACGGAACCAAUGAGGCUGGAUUUAUGCUUUGUGAAGGGAGGGGAGAACAGGCCAUCAGAUCCCAAGGCUUACUGCAAGGAAAUGGCCACAAAAGAAGCUGCGCUGCAACUCCGUAGUUACUCAUACUCCUUAUGAACUGAGUUGUAUCCUUUACUCCUCUUGCUUCAUUGCAUCUUUAUAACAAUCUCCUGCCCGAUUGACAAUGGUCUCACCGGGUUAUAUGGAAGGCAAGAUACCCAAAGUUUGUAGUGCUACUUGAGACCAAAUAUUGAGCUAUAGUUGAAACACCUGUGAUAUACCCAAUCGAACCCAAGAAGCAUACAUCCAUGCCAUAUAAUAUAAUUAUUUUAGAUCAUAUAUAUCAAUUUAGCUCAGGACGGUGCACAUGGUAUCUUUCCAACUGAAGUUUACACUAUUACAUGAUUAGACCUAAAUUUAAUUAAUUAUAAUCAUCCUGGUCUUAAAAUACCAUUAGUAUGUGUAAGGUAAGAAAAAAUAGUGCCAGCUUCUCAAUGUUUAUACUAAAGAUGAUAUUUCCAAAAAAUCUUUUUGUGCCAAUGAGGCGAAAUCUCCUGUAUGAAUUCGCUUCUCAUUUCAUUUUGUUGGGUAGAUAGCGCCCGCUUACAUAUGAAAAAUAAUGUUAUUUAUGUACUGAGAGUUCGUUUGUAUUACACACGAUCACUCAAGCUUGCAAUGCUGGCAAAAAUACCAUGACCAGAUCAUUCUCCAAGGGGGCAUUGCUAAACGAUGCCUGAUAUGGUAGCAAGGCUACAUCUGAACUCGGUGCUUCCUAAAAAAUAUCUGAAAGUUAGUAAAAUGCUCACUGUACUUUUCUUUGGUUGUCACUACUUGCUGAUGCAUACUGUUAUCCGUUAUAAUUUCUGGCUGAUUGUUCUUUUGGACUGAUUUUGCACUAUCCGUUACACUUUGUUGAAGCCUGUGACUCUCAAGCCCCAUAAGUGACCUUCAACCUAUCUACAUAGCAAUAGCAUGAGGAUGUCCUUGGUACCGUAACAGUGCAUCCACUACCUGACGAUGACGAUGCUCUGAUCGAGUAGAGAGAUCAUAAGUUGAUUGUGCUUUGUACAAGAGUUUUCUACUUUUAGGUGAAAGGCUUUAUAUUGAGGCCGGAAUGUUUUCCUUGAAUCAAGAACUAUUGUGUGACAUUGAUCUACAUCUUUGCCAUGGAUUUCUUGGCCACAUUGAUAUGUUACUUACUGGUUCAUUAGUAUUAUUAUACAUCCCAGCUUACUAUGGAUCA
Molecule: non-coding RNA, 4832 nt
Organism: Lolium perenne
Lineage: Eukaryota; Viridiplantae; Streptophyta; Magnoliopsida; Poales; Poaceae
Source: RefSeq, a predicted model, not a curated record